Non-coding RNA from Meleagris gallopavo (turkey), 2131 nucleotides. NCBI's taxonomy places the organism in Eukaryota, Metazoa, Chordata, Aves, Galliformes, Phasianidae. The record is from RefSeq and is a predicted model, not a curated record.
UGAGGAGGAGGAGGAAGGGGAGCCCUGCGACCCGCCGCCCCCGCCACACCACGAGUGGACCUACGAGGAGCAGUUCAAGCAGCUCUAUGAACUGGAUGAGGAUCCGAAGCGCAAGGAAUUCCUGGAUGACCUCUUCAGCUUCAUGCAGAAGAGAGGUAAAGGUGGGUGGUGUGGGUGGGUACUCUAGCUAAUGAGAGGCACUCGUGCACUGAGCAGCUGCAGACUCACGUGUGUCACUGUUACACAAGCUCAUCUCUGCCUGUACACCCUAUGUCUCCUGGAAUGCACCUUUAGACUUGCACACCACAUUUUAUACACACACAUUUACACAUGGGCACAUCCAUAGGUUCGUCCCCUUAUCCAACCCAUCUUGAGUUGCUUUCAGCCAGAGGGACCCCCAGAUUUGGGCUGGUGGUGAUGCCCAUUGCUGAUGCUCAACAACAACCAGCAGGAAUGUGCACCAGUGGUGCCAGUCAGUAGUGCCCUUGGGCAAUAUGUAUUAGAAAAAGCCAUUAAUUAUGGCCAUUAGUGAUGGCUGACGGGGAUGCCUACUGACAGUACCCAUUAGCAGUGCCCAUUGGCGAUGUCCAGUGGAGAUGCCCAAUAAUGAUGCCUGUUACCAUUGGUCCAUUGGUGAUACCCAGCAGAGAUGCCUAUUAGCAAGACCUGUUAGCAGUGCCCAUUAGCAAUCCCCAUUAGCAUUUGUGGGUCAUCAUGGCCAUACACGAGCACUGCCCCAGGGCUGUGGGAGCAGCACCGGGUGCCCAGGGGUUAAAGCCCUGCAGCCCACCCAGACCAUCGGAAAUCUUUGCUAUCGGCACAGGGACAAGCCAGCUCCUGGGGACUCAAUAAAUGCUUUAACCUUCGCCCUCACCAUCCAGGUCCGCAACAAUUAAAAGUUGCCGAAUGCGGGCGUGCGGCUAGCUGUAUUAAUUAGAGCCUUUUGCCAGUGUGUGGAUUAAUGAACAUGCCGCUCGAUAGCCAGUAAACCCCAGGCAGAGGUUAAUGCCGAGCUAAUUAACGGGGGAAGGCUGAAGGGGAGGUGGGGCGGGAAGGGCUUGGAUGUAGUAGUGUGCAGGGCAAAGAGGGGCAGUCAGACCCAGAUCUGCCUUAGGGAUCAUCAGGGAGAGUGGGUGCCCACCCGUGGGGCAGCAGCACCCAACUCUUGGUGGUGCUGAGGCCCCACCGCAAACUCUUUUCAGGGCUGUGGGGCUGGAAGCAGAGGGAGAUCUAGGUGCUGCCCUGUGGGCACUGCGUGACCCCAACUUUGGGGCAGGUGGGAGGAAGCUGGGGGAGCACUGGCACUGUCUCCUCUCCCCCUCCACCCCCCAGCAUCCCUCAGCCACAAGAUUCAUGGCCUGCUUGGCGGCUUCAUUAUCUCUCUCUCCAGAACUAAUUAACUCCCUUGCUAUUGGGGCCCGGGCUAAUUAAGUGAGCGCCUGGUGGUGCAAGGAGGAGGGAGGGAGCCGGAUGCUCCCCUUUUCUACUCCUCUCCCUUCCCCAGGGUGGGGGGCAGCUCAGGGUGACCCUGGGGGGUGCAGGGUGUCUUGUGGUUCAGAGGGUGAGUACUCAUAUCCCAUGGACAUCCACGGGUGUACAGACAGAAGGGUCACCCUCAGGGUGGCAACGGGUUGGGAAGGGACAGUGAGCCCCAGGAGGUAGCUGCACAUCCUCUGCAUUUGCCCCCUCCCAAAGAGAGGGCCCUGCUGAUAACAGAGCACCAUUAAUCAAUUGAGGAACUAAUUGCAGCAGCACAAUGGCCCUACCACCUCCUUAGGCUUUUGUGCCAUGCACCCCAGCCAGAAUCAGGGCCAUCACUCUGCAGGGACACAGACAGGUCCCUUUGUCAGUGGGAUGGGCACUGGCCGUCAGCGCUGCACAGCCCAAAGAUUAAUGGCAUCUGCUUUCAUUAGCCAGGGAGGGGGGGGGAAAGAAGAUGUCUAGAGGGCAUUGAUUGGAUCCACUGCAUUCAUAGCUUCUGGGGUGAUGGGGAGCCCCCAGAUCAGGUAAUAGGGCUGUGCUGGGCAGAACUGAUGAAGGACCACGGGUGGAUAUUGGAUCAAUCUUUACCCUUUUCCUAGGAGUAAAAACUACCCCUUCCCAACCUGGCAAACAACACAAAGGGGGGAAA